RNAcentral lists this ribosomal RNA (365 nucleotides) under uncultured Acidovorax sp. RNAcentral's name for it is "bacterial SSU rRNA". It matches the Rfam family "Bacterial small subunit ribosomal RNA", at positions 1016 to 1382 of the family's 1533-position model. The record is from RNAcentral. Lineage: Bacteria; Pseudomonadati; Pseudomonadota; Betaproteobacteria; Burkholderiales; Comamonadaceae.
UCGAAAGAGAGCCGUAACACAGGCGCUGCAUGGCUGUCGUCAGCUCGUGUCGUGAGAUGUUGGGUUAAGUCCCGCAACGAGCGCAACCCUUGUCAUUAGUUGCUACAUUCAGUUGGGCACUCUAAUGAGACUGCCGGUGACAAACCGGAGGAAGGUGGGGAUGACGUCAAGUCCUCAUGGCCCUUAUAGGUGGGGCUACACACGUCAUACAAUGGAUGGUACAAAGGGUCGCCAACCCGCGAGGGGGGAGCCAAUCCCAUAAAGCCAUUCGUAGUCCGGAUCGCAGUCUGCAACUCGACUGCGUGAAGUCGGAAUCGCUAGUAAUCGUGGAUCAGAAUGUCACGGUGAAUACGUUCCCGGGUCUU